This is a long non-coding RNA of Impatiens glandulifera, 253 nucleotides long. RefSeq lists it as uncharacterized. The record is from RefSeq and is a predicted model, not a curated record. The transcript is spliced from 3 exons. NCBI's taxonomy places the organism in Eukaryota, Viridiplantae, Streptophyta, Magnoliopsida, Ericales, Balsaminaceae.
ACACAGGUACUACGUAGGAUAAAUAAAUGUAUUAGGUAAAAAAAACUAGGAUCGUCUUCUCUCUCAUCCUCGGAUCGGCCAUGGCUUCUUCCAUCUAAGUUCAGCUGAUCGAGUGAAAGGAUGGGGGAACCUGAUGAUCAUGAGCUGGACAUCUUUCAGCUGAUCCGAACUCAUCAGGAGAAAGCUGUUCAAUUACCUCCAGUUCAACUAGUUCGAACUUUGCUAGCAAACACUUCUUUUGGACUGCUUUCUA